Non-coding RNA from Pelobates cultripes (western spadefoot toad), 5129 nucleotides. Lineage: Eukaryota; Metazoa; Chordata; Amphibia; Anura; Pelobatidae. The record is from the annotation of a GenBank genome assembly.
AUUUAGACCAAAAUAACGGAGGAUGCCAGACCAUUCCAAACUGUUUCUGUUCACUGAUUAGCCCCGAUUUGGGUUUUUGAGUCAGCGUUUGAGUGGAUUGUUGUGAUAACAUUAUGACCUAUGUUUCAUGAAGCCUUGACCAAGGCAGUCAUUCUUGCAUAGUGGAAACAAUGAAAUGAAUAGGGGCACCUGAUCACUAUUUUCUGCUACAAACUUCCGUGCAAAGGUGUGAAAAUCAGAUGUAGAAACACAGUGCUGUUAUAUGCUGGAUGUAACGAUAACUUGGUUAUUCAUGUGGAGUUGCAAAGAGCUAGUAUGUAGCUCCAAAAUGUUGAAUAAAUAGGUUGAUUUUUAAAUCCAGUGCCACUGUAUUCUGUUUCUACAGAAUAUUACUAAACCUCCUCUCUCCCCAGAUGAAUCCAUUAUGAUGAUUUAUCAGGACUUUGGUUUUAAACAAAUGGCUUAAAUGUUUGGGAGCAUGUAGCCCAUAAUAGUUGGAACCAAAUGAUUUGUUGAGAUAGAUAAAUCAUCCUCUAUAUAAAUUCCUGUAUGGUUUUGGUUAUUCACCACGAAAGAUCUGUAUUUUUAGUCUAAGGGUACUUUAGGAAAAUAUUUUUACUUAAAGUCUUUUAACAAAAAUAGUGUUGACAGUGUGUAGUUUAACUUGGAUCUGGUGAUCAAGGGAAUAUAUUUUUUAAUUAUUUUCUUGCCUUUUUUUAACAUUAUGCAGUACCUUAUUUGAGAGGAGAACUUCUAUUAUAAGGUGAUGUUAUAAGGCCAUAAUCACUAACUUAGGCAUCUCAGAUGUUUGAACCACUCCUAAUACCCAGCAAACCUAGUUACAAAAUGUUUGUUGUGCCAAUGUUUAAAAUGAUUCAGCCAAUGCAUAAAAACUGGAAAAAAAUUAUACUUUACCAUCUUUUGAUGUUUACAGUGUGAAGCAGUGCCUUUAAGCCCCUAAAGGUUAUCUCCAUCUUUUGUAUCCUGACUUGUCUGCUUCUUUAUUUUAAAGAGACAAUAUGCAUUUAGACUUUUAUGCCUCUACUUUCUGCGACAUGGUUCUAAGAUUUUUUUUUUUUAUUUUUUUUUCAACUACUUAAAUUUCUAAGAAGUGUUGCAGAAGAAAUACAUAUUUACUUUAAUAUGUAGAACUGCCAGUGGGCCAGUACGGUGCUUAUUUCACAUAAAGGCAUAUUGUAAUACAGCAGUUAAUUGUUGUGUUCUGUAACACAACCCAAAAUCUUUCCCUCAAUUCUUCCAUGUUCUCCAUUCUGCAGUCUUGUUCAUCAUGCUUUUCAGCACAGGGCAUUUGUGAGAAUAUAGUAAAUUUCUCUUUAGAAUCUGUAGUACUCUUUCAGACCGCCAGGUAACUCUGCCCUAGAACUAGUUUCAUUUAAAACUCUGUGUUGGAGACCUGUUUAACAUGACAUUACUUUUUCAUUCUGUGUGUAUUGAAUUUUAAUCACUGACUUUAUUUAGUGAAGGAUACAGUCUCUGAAGUCUGUCACAUUGUUUUAAACAAAGACUUAAAGGGUUAUCCACUAAAGUGAAUAUUUGUGAGAAUUAAAAGUAAGUUUUAAAUUAAGGCCCAAAAUAGUUUAACUGGAAUCAUUCUCAAUGUCAGCUCUGCUACCAGUGCAGUCUGUAACUUGAAAUUAACUUUGAAUUCUUGUAUUACCUGACUAUUUUCACGUUGGUAAAUAACCCUGCUAAUCCCAAACAGAUACUUUUCAAUGAGUAUUUUUUUUUUAAACAGAUUUUUCUUAACUUUAAUAGGAAAUACUAGAUUGGUGCAUUAUUUCUCAGCUAAUCUAAAGGAAGAACUGACCACUGCAUCAGUGUCUAGUAGAUUUACUAAAAGGGCUUUAGUAUCGUAGGUAUAAAAUUAGGAUUGAGGUAUCCCGCAAUGUUGUUCCUCUAAAAAAAAAAAAAAGGUUCUAAAACUACGAUCAUAUUGAAUUUCACACACUGGAUGGGAUAAUAAAGUAUUAAAGUCAUAUCCCUAUUAAAUGAGUUUUUUUUUUAAAAUUUAUAUAUAAUUUUAUAUUAAUGUUUUUUUUACUCACACAUCUAUUGGGAUCUGACUAUCAAAUAUUUUUUAUAAAAAAGUUAAAUCCCUAAAGUUCUCAUCCACCUAUUUGAAAAAAAUAGAACGUUAUUAAAAAAACAACUUGGUAUUCUCUUCCAUGUCGUGUAUGCACAAUAGAAUCAAGAAAAAAUUACUAAUCCUGUAUGCCUUACUACUGAUGAGGCAUGUGUAUAAAACUUAGAAAAUAACAGACCAGUGCACACCAAAUGUGUAUAUAAAAAAGUGACGUUUACAAUGUCCACUUAAUACAUGGGAUUUAAUGUUAAUAUUUGUACUAACUGGAGGAAACAAAUUGUCAGUAAGGUAAGAAAAUACAACAAAUGUAAAUAUUAUUUGGUACUUGACAUUUAUCACCAAAGUGUCUGCUCUCUUCUGCAGUUUUAAUUGUCUGGAACAACGUCCCAGCUAGGAAAUUUCAAUUCAGGGAGUUGAUCUUGAUCAGUGGGGAUGGGUCAUUAAAAAGUCAAGACAGGUGAAUUUGCAUAGCCAAAACUUUACUCUUCUUUCAGUUGUUUAAAAUAAAAGAAAAAAGUGGUCUGUAGCAGCUGUUUUGACAAAAUUGACCCAAUUUGGAGUGGUGGGAUGUGCUAAUUUAUUUUUGAAUAUCAUUAAGAUUCCUGCUACUCUCCAUCAAAUACACCAAAUAACAAAUGCCUAUAUUUGAACUGUAAAUUCCCUUGUUCUUACACUCUAGCACUGGAAUUUAGAUAUUGACUUCCUAAUGUAUAAAACAGCAGAUCCAUUUUUCUUCAAAAAUAUGUAGCCAAGAAUACUAUAACUUACGUUUUUAUAAAAGCUAUGCAAACCUUUACAGUUUUUGUGUUUUUCCAUUAAAAAAUGCGUAGUCACUGUUUAGCAGUUUUAUCAAAUGCAUUUUAGUUUAGUGAAACAACUCUUCCAGUGUGUAAAAAAAAAUAAAUUAAAAAAAAAAAAAAUUCUAUGGAACGGACAUUGGCCUUAGAAAGAAAUGUUUAUUAUCCUCAGAAUCCUAUUGCGAGGACUGUAAUAUGUCAAAUUACCACCUUGGAAAGUUCACUGUUUUAUAUAUUGAAUACUGAGCAAUUGUACUAAUCUGCAAUACAUUAAGGUCUUCAGAAAAAAAAGUUGUGGUUUUGUUUAAUUGGUCACAUUACUUAUGCAGAGCCUAAAUGUAGGCAGACUAUUGCUAGAGAACAUGUGGGCAGUUGUUUAGGUUUCUAUAACCCCCUCCCGUUUAAGACUAGUGACGUUGAUGGGAUUGCCUUAUCUCAAUGUUUUGUAGUUGAUACGCUUUGGACUCAGUUGGCAAUAUACCUAGUCAUAUCGAGAAAAUCAAUUUGUCUCCUGCCCUUUAGAAGUGGUUUACAUAACCACAGGCUGCAGUUGUCAGAAAAAAAUGAAGGGUGAAAUAAUCUUUAUAUAUUCUUGAGGCUUGUCCAAAACACUGUGUAUAUGACAAGCCAUAUCUGCACCACUAAGGUACGGCAAGCUAGUUACUCUUCAGUUAUUUUGGAUGUACAACUCUCACUAUGGUCUCCCAGCCUAAGAGCUCCUCUGGGGCUAACCCCAACCUAAUGUGUAUACCUAUUUGGAUAAUCAAUGCAAAUUCUGUUUUUGGUUUACCAAAAUGUACACUCUAAAAUUUGAAGAAACCAGCACCAUGAAAAAUGUGUUUAUUUGAAAAUGUUUAUAAUGGUAUAAUUGAAUUUCUAAAACUUUAGGUUUGAAUUCUAGUAACUACCUGGAGAAAACUUACAGCAAUGUACCUUUUUCUCCCAAGUUUGGUACCAUGCAUGUAUUUUUAUGUUUGCUUUUGUCAAUUAUCUGUUGGAUCUGUCAGUGUUUUAAAUUUAACCAAGAUCUUGCAUUGGAGGAAGCAAAAUAUGGAUAUGCUUGCAUGGUGGUGAGUUUCGAUGCUCUAAUCUUUGUCCUGACUGCCUAGAGAAAUUAGCCUCUAGCUCCCACUGAUACCAGUGCUGCCUUGCUCAUCCAUUAAAUUGCCUAAUUCACUUAAUCGUGACAUCCUAUCCUAUUAGAUGAGCUGCUCUUAAAUUUGAGUCAUGAGUGGACAAUUUAUUUUUAUAUAUAUAUUUUAUUUUAUUUUAUUGAAGGUCACCAAAUCACAGUGCACUGUUAAAACAUGGAUGCUGAACAAUUAUGCAACAAGAGUGGGGAAAGGUGCUUAUUUUAAAGACUGACAAAACUGUUUGCAGAAUAUGGCACAAGUUGUUUGUGUUUUGUACACCUGCUUUUUAGAUUAAUUUUACAGCAAUAUCUGUUGGAUGAGAGUAUUUUUAUCCACAGGAAGCAAACUCAUUUAAAUCUGGUAUUGAUAGCAACUUGGAAAUGUAUAGUAGUGUGCAGUCCCCAAGCAAGAAUUAAUGAUGAUUUCCAGAAAACUGACAACUUUUAAGUAUAAAACGUAUCAAAAGGUUUCUAAAAAUGAAAAUGUGUUAUAAUUUUUAUAAAGUAUUUUAUACUGCAAUGUGGUAUUUAUGUGAACUGGUCAGGCAACAUUCUUUAAAUUGCCCCAUUCUCACUGCACUUUAUCAUUUUUCCUUCUACCCUCUCGGAUAAGAAGCAAAGCUAAAUAACAUGUUUGCCAUCCUUUUUCUGGCAUGUCUGUUGAACAGUGGUGUUUGCGGGAAGUUUAUCUUGAUUCUUUUUGGGAUCUCCAGUUUGCCUCAUAUUUUAUGGUUUUCAAAAUUCAGCAGGGGAAAAUGUUUUCCCAAAUAGCUUAAAUUUAUGGGGGUAAACUGAUUUAAAAAUAUGUAUAAAUGCAUUUAGUUUUUUUUUUUGGUUUUUUUCCCCUUCUAGUUUCGAGGUGCAAUGGGGAUAAACAAAUGUUUUGUUUUUUUUGCUUGUAUUUUUAUUUUACUUUCGUUACUACAGGCAAAACAAAUGUUUUUCCACUUAAUUUUUCUGCUCCAAUACUGUCGUACAUUUGUCUAUGUAUAUUGCUCAAUUAUUUUAUUUUGCUUUUGAGUUGAUAAUUUUUUUGGGGGGUGGGGGGAAUUUGGCAUUUUCUUGGAUGGGAGGAAAAAUAAAUGUUUUAAUUUAA